RNAcentral lists this ribosomal RNA (491 nucleotides) under uncultured Bacteroidota bacterium. Its description in RNAcentral is "bacterial SSU rRNA". It matches the Rfam family "Bacterial small subunit ribosomal RNA", at positions 904 to 1382 of the family's 1533-position model. The record is from RNAcentral. Lineage: Bacteria; Pseudomonadati; Bacteroidota.
GCCCGCUCAGAAACUCAAUGAAUUGACGGGGGCCCGCACAAGCGGUGGAGCAUGUGGUUUAAUUCGAUGAUACGCGAGGAACCUUACCUGGGCUCAAAUGUAUGUUGACGUAUUCUGAAAGGGAUACUUCUUCGGACAAUAUACAAGGUGCUGCAUGGUUGUCGUCAGCUCGUGCCGUGAGGUGUCGGGUUAAGUCCCGCAACGAGCGCAACCCCUACUGCUAGUUGCCAGCGGGUCAUGCCGGGGACUCUAGCGGAACUGCCAGCGUAAGCUGCGAGGAAGGUGGGGAUGACGUCAAAUCAGCACGGCCCUUACGUCCAGGGCUACACACGUGUUACAAUGGCCAGUACAGAGGGCAGCCACCCCGCGAGGGGGCGCUAAUCCUAAAAGCUGGUCCCAGUUCGGAUCGGAGUCUGCAACCCGACUCCGUGAAGCUGGAUUCGCUAGUAAUCGUGGAUCAGCAUGCCACGGUGAAUACGUUCCCGGGCCUU